CAGAUUGUAGCUUAUAUAAAAGUUUUUCAUUUACAUUGAUUUGAAAUUAAUUUCUGUCUGA
RNAcentral lists this transfer RNA (61 nucleotides) under Hylica paradoxa. Its description in RNAcentral is "tRNA-Val". Lineage: Eukaryota; Metazoa; Arthropoda; Insecta; Hemiptera; Cicadellidae. The record is from RNAcentral.